Molecule: ribosomal RNA, 1233 nt
Filed under: Stenotrophomonas maltophilia M30
Lineage: Bacteria; Pseudomonadati; Pseudomonadota; Gammaproteobacteria; Lysobacterales; Lysobacteraceae
Description: bacterial LSU rRNA
Rfam family: Bacterial large subunit ribosomal RNA
Source: RNAcentral
GUUAUAUGGUCAAGCGAAUAAGCGCACACGGUGGAUGCCUUGGCGGUCAGAGGCGAUGAAGGACGUGGCAGCCUGCGAAAAGUAUCGGGGAGCUGGCAACAAGCUUUGAUCCGGUAAUGUCCGAAUGGGGAAACCCACCCGCUUGCGGGUAUCCUGCAGUGAAUACAUAGCUGCUGGAAGCGAACCUGGUGAACUGAAAUAUCUAAGUAACCAGAGGAAAAGAAAUCAACCGAGAUUCCGUAAGUAGCGACGAGCGAACGCGGACUAGCCCUUAAGCUGAUUUGGUUCUAGGAAAACGCUCUGGAAAGAGCGGCCAUAGAAGGUGAUAGCCCUGUAUCUGAAAGGGCCAUUUCAGUGAAGACGAGUAGGGCGGGGCACGUGAAACCCUGUCUGAACAUGGGGGGACCAUCCUCCAAGGCUAAAUACUACUGACCGACCGAUAGUGAACCAGUACCGUGAGGGAAAGGCGAAAAGAACCCCGGAGAGGGGAGUGAAAUAGAACCUGAAACCGUGUGCGUACAAGCAGUAGGAGCUCCGCAAGGAGUGACUGCGUACCUUUUGUAUAAUGGGUCAGCGACUUACUGUUCGUGGCAAGCUUAACCGUAUAGGGGAGGCGAAGGGAAACCGAGUCUGAUAAGGGCGCAUAGUCGCGGGCAGUAGACCCGAAACCGGGUGAUCUAGUCAUGCCCAGGGUGAAGGUGCGGUAACACGCACUGGAGGCCCGAACCCACUCCCGUUGCAAAGGUAGGGGAUGAGGUGUGAUUAGGAGUGAAAAGCUAAUCGAACCCGGAGAUAGCUGGUUCUCCUCGAAAGCUAUUUAGGUAGCGCCUCAUAUGUAUCCUCUCGGGGGUAGAGCACUGUUAUGGCUAGGGGGGCAUCGCGACUUACCAAACCAUUGCAAACUCCGAAUACCGAGACGGACUGUAUGGGAGACACACGGCGGGGGCUAACGUCCGUCGUGAAAAGGGAAACAACCCAGACCCACAGCUAAGGUCCCAAAUUUUGUGCUAAGUGGAAAACCAUGUGGAAAGGCACAGACAGCCAGGAGGUUGGCUUAGAAGCAGCCACCCUUUAAAGAAAGCGUAAUAGCUCACUGGUCGAGUCGGUCUGCGGGGAAGAUUUAACGGGGCUAAGCACAGAACCGAAGCUUGGGGUGCAUACUUUGUAUGCGCGGUAGAGGAGCGUUCCGUAAGCCGUUGAAGGUGGAUUGAGAAGUCUGCUGGAGGUAUCGGA